Molecule: ribosomal RNA, 271 nt
Filed under: uncultured bacterium
Lineage: Bacteria
Description: partial 16S ribosomal RNA
Rfam family: Bacterial small subunit ribosomal RNA
Source: RNAcentral
UGCGAAGGGGGCGAGCGUUAUUCGGAAUCACUGGGCGUAAAGCGUGCGUAGGCUGUUCUGCAAGUCAGAAGUGAAAGCCCAAGGCUCAACCUUGGAAGCGCUUUUGAAACUGCAGGACUAGAAUUUGGGAGAGGAUAGCGGAAUUGUCAGUGUAGCAGUGAAAUGCGUAGAUAUUGACAGGAACACCAGUGGCGCAAGCGGCUAUCUGGACCAACAUUGACGCUGAGGCACGAAAGCGUGGGGAUCAAACAGGAUUAGAUACCCUUGUAGU